RNAcentral lists this transfer RNA (72 nucleotides) under Phrynosoma platyrhinos (Desert horned lizard). RNAcentral describes it as "tRNA-OTHER". The record is from RNAcentral. Lineage: Eukaryota; Metazoa; Chordata; Lepidosauria; Squamata; Phrynosomatidae.
GCCAGCAUGGUAUAGUGGUUUGUGCACUGGACUACGAUUCUGGAGUCUAGGGUUCAAAUCCCUGCUUAGCCA